GUGGGGAAUAUUGGGCAAUGGGCGAAAGCCUGACCCAGCCACGCCGCGUGAGUGAUGAAGGCCUUCGGGUCGUAAAGCUCUGUCGCAGGGGAAUAACACAAUGAAGGUACCCUGUAAGAAAGGAUCGGCUAACUUCGUGCCAGCAGCCGCGGUAAGACGAGGGAUCCUAGCGUUGUUCGGAAUCAUUGGGCGUAAAGCGGAUGUAGGUGGCUAUGUAAGUCAGAUGUGAAAGCCUGGGGCUCAACCCCAGAAGUGCAUUUGAUACUGCGUAGCUUGAGUGUCGGAGAGGUUACUAGAAUUGUUGGUGUAGUGGUGAAAUACGUAGAUAUCAACAGGAAUACCGGAGGCGAAGGCGGGUAACUGGCCGAACACUGACACUGAGAUCCGAAAGCGUGGGGAUCAAACAGGAUUAGAAACCCUAGUAGUCC
This 428-nucleotide ribosomal RNA is filed under the name uncultured bacterium. RNAcentral's name for it is "bacterial SSU rRNA". It matches the Rfam family "Bacterial small subunit ribosomal RNA", at positions 354 to 796 of the family's 1533-position model. The record is from RNAcentral.